UACAGAGGGUGCGAGCGUUUAAUCGGAGUUACUGGGCGUAAAGGGCGCGUAGGCGGUUAUAUAAGUGAGAUGUGAAAUCCCUGGGCUUAACCUAGGAACUGCAUCUCAUACUGUAUGACUGGAGUAUUGUAGAGGGUAGUGGAAUUUCCGGUGUAGCGGUGAAAUGCGUAGAGAUCGGAAGGAACACCAGUGGCGAAGGCGGCUACCUGGACAAAUACUGACGCUGAGGCGCGAGAGCGUGGGGAGCAAACAGG
RNAcentral lists this ribosomal RNA (254 nucleotides) under uncultured bacterium. Its description in RNAcentral is "partial 16S ribosomal RNA". It matches the Rfam family "Bacterial small subunit ribosomal RNA", at positions 524 to 776 of the family's 1533-position model. The record is from RNAcentral.